RNAcentral lists this transfer RNA (74 nucleotides) under Candidatus Woesearchaeota archaeon. RNAcentral describes it as "tRNA-Thr". It matches the Rfam family "tRNA". From Rfam's summary of the family: Transfer RNA (tRNA) molecules are approximately 80 nucleotides in length. Lineage: Archaea; Nanobdellati; Candidatus Woesearchaeota. The record is from RNAcentral.
GCCCCGAUAGCUCAGCUAGCUAGAGCGGUUGACUCGUAAUCAACAGGUCAGGAGUGCAAAUCUCCUUCGGGGCU